UGCAUUCAUGGUACAGCACAUGAAUCCUCGCUCAAUAAAUUAUCAUAUUACUGGUUUUUGAGCCAUACUUUUUUGCUUUUCAUCGCCUAUAUAUCCAGUAUAAGACUCCCCCUUUUUCACUUGUAUAAACACUAGAAAAUUCAGUUAAGAAUAAUUCUGAUAUGGAGAGGAAAGCAUUUGGCAUUUUCUUUCUGCUUCUCAUUGUCUUGGUUUCACGUAAGUUCUCUGGGCUUAUAGCUUCAUUUGAUCUUAUUAUUUAGUUCUAGUUUGCAACAUUUGUUCAAAUUUUUUACUUCCCACUUGAUAUCAGAAUCGCCCCAUCUCAACCGGGAUUGCGAGUAGACGUAUCAUUUUAUGCAUGGUCUUUCACCAAAACAUGAAAAAAUGUGAACGUUUUGAAAAUUAGAGUUCUUUUCAAACUCCAGAAAUCAUUUUUGGAAACUCAAAAAAUAGUUUUGAUUGGUGGAAAAGCCAAUAUAUUCUGGGUUAGAAAUUGAUUUGUACAUAAAUUUAGAUUAAUAAACAAACCACUAAAAUUUUUACAAAGUCAAUGUGCAUGCGAAUACUACUUCAAUGUAUACUGCUUGGCUAAAAUGUAAUCAAAGUUGAAGGAUGCAACUAAAAUUAUUUAAAGAGACCUAUUAAUAAGAGAACUCUUUGAAGAAAGUAUAGUUCUAACGAAAGUAUUGCUAAUAACUCUAAAUCUCCAAGAAAAUGAUUUGAGAUUUGGAUUCAAGCGGUUCGUUUGAAAUAUAUAGCGCUAUAUGUAGCCAUACUAUGAAGACUCUAAUCUUAAUCUAUCGUGCUUUGGUCAAUGUGGUUUGGAUUUACUCAAUUAACAUGAUGCAUACUUUUCGUGCGUGUGUUAGACAUGUAUAUAGAUGUAACAUAUUAUUUAUACGUGUUUAAUACACAUGUGACAUGUGCGCAUUUUGAAUUUGAGUAAUACAUUAAUCGAGCAAAAAAUCAUCAUCUGUAGAAAUAUAUAUUCCUACAUAGUUAUGUGAGACCUAGCAUGUUUAACCAUGUUUAAAAGUGUAUUUUUAAGUGCUUUUUGGAUUCUAUUUGUGUAGCAUUAGCGUUCACACUAAUUGGAAAUGCACUUAAAAAGUUGCUUUUAAACACGACCUAACAUGCUCUCAGAUGGCGAUGGUCUUACCCAUUGUUAAAUCAUAAUCAAGUAAUAGUAUACGAUGAUUUGACAUAAUAGAUUAAUAACUCACAUAUAGGAAAGAUGCCUAACAUUAUCUAGCAAAAGGAUAAUGAGAACAAUUUUAUGCAAUGAUUUGGGGUUCAAGCACUCAACUAAUAACAUGUUUGACUAAGUUCAAAAGCUACUUAAAAGAACUUAGCUAAUCAAGUUAGUAAUCUACAGCUCUAUGCCAUUUUUUUUUUUUUGAUAUGUAUUUAAUUUUGCUAUUUUAUAAUAGAUUUGAAUAAUAGAUGUUUACAUUUCGUGCGUGUAUCAAAUACGUGUGUGUAAUUAUACAUAUACACGUGUCUGAUACACGUACGUGAUAUGAACAUCUUUUGAUUCAAAUGCACAUCUAUCGUACAUGUUUUGCUAGCUAGGCAGCUUAUUCAGUAAUUUUCAUAUGCUCUUCUAGUACGUAAUUUUGUCGUAUAUUUUUAUUUGUAAAUUUUUUUUUCUUGUUUUGUUUUGACCAAUACAGAAGUGACAAUGCCCGGAGCAGAAGCAAGAGUUUGCGAAUCAAGGAGCCAUGGAUUUAGGGGCCCUUGCCUUGGCGACCACAACUGCGCGCUGGUUUGCCGAAAUGAAGGUUUCUCCGGUGGAAAAUGCCACGGUUUCCACCGUCGAUGCUUCUGUACUAAACUUUGUUAAGUACAAUGUAUGCACUUUAAAACUUCAUCAUGGUUUUGACACUUGGAAUUUUGGUGGAAUUUGAUGAAAAUAAUUAGUUUGUUCUUCUAUGUACUCAAUAUUUCCUUGUCCAGGACUGACUGAGUAUUUGUUGUCGUUUUUGCUUAAUUGCUGAGUGGGAAGUAGUACGUCAAGACCAUUUACUUAUGAUGGAUAUUUUGUUGAAUUUUGAUACUUGUACAUCAGGGUUAACACACCGGUGUACUGACUUCUCACAACAAGUGGGGGCCCACGACGAAUAAAAAAAUCAUAGGCUCCCCUGUUGUGAGGGAGUCGGUACAAUCCCGGUAUACGAGUAAUAAGAUUUUAUUUUGUUACUAGUGAGCUGGGCUAGUUGAAAGCGGGUUAACUAAAUCAAUGCUCACUGAAUUUUACUCUAUGUUAUUAUUUGUUCACUGAACAAAAAAGAAGUUACCAUUACUAAUUCAUAUAUUCAAACGUUU
This 2325-nucleotide long non-coding RNA is filed under the name Olea europaea subsp. europaea. Lineage: Eukaryota; Viridiplantae; Streptophyta; Magnoliopsida; Lamiales; Oleaceae. The record is from RNAcentral.